UGAGGAAUAUUGGACAAUGGAUGGAAAUCUGAUCCAGCCAUGCCGCGUGAGGGAAGGAGGCCCUAUGGGUUGUAAACCUCUUUUGUACGGGAGCAAUAAGGGCUACGUGUAGCCUGAUGAGAGUACCGUACGAAUAAGCAUCGGCUAACUCCGUGCCAGCAGCCGCGGUAAUACGGAGGAUGCGAGCGUUAUCCGGAUUUAUUGGGUUUAAAGGGUGCGUAGGCGGUUUGCCAAGUCAGCGGUGAAAAUCUCAGGCUCAACCUGGGGACUGCCGUUGAUACUGGCAGGCUGGAAUAUGGUUGCUGUGGGUGGAAUGUGUGGUGUAGCGGUGAAAUGCUUAGAGAUCACACAGAAUAUCGAUUGCGAAGGCAGCUCACAAAGCCAUGAUUGACGCUGAGGCACGAAAGUGUGGGGAUCAAACA
Molecule: ribosomal RNA, 422 nt
Filed under: uncultured prokaryote
Description: bacterial SSU rRNA
Rfam family: Bacterial small subunit ribosomal RNA
Source: RNAcentral